CCCUUCCGUAAGGGAACCUGCGGAAGGAUCAUUACUGUUGAUUAGUACUACACUGCGUGAGCGGAACGAAAACAACAACACCUAAAAUGUGGAAUAUAGCAUAUAGUCGACAAGAGAAAUCUACGAAAAACAAACAAAACUUUCAACAACGGAUCUCUUGGUUCUCGCAUCGAUGAAGAGCGCAGCGAAAUGCGAUACCUAGUGUGAAUUGCAGCCAUCGUGAAUCAUCGAGUUCUUGAACGCACAUUGCGCCCCUCGGCAUUCCGGGGGGCAUGCCUGUUUGAGCGUCGUUUCCAUCUUGCGCGUGCGCAGAGUUGGGGGAGCGGAGCGGACGACGUGUAAAGAGCGUCGGAGCUGCGACUCGCCUGAAAGGGAGCGAAGCUGGCCGAGCGAACUAGACUUUUUUUCAGGGACGCUUGGCGGCCGAGAGCGAGUGUUGCGAGACAACAAAAAGCUCGACCUCAAAUCAGGUAGGAAUACCCGCUGAACUUAAGCAUAUCAAUAAGGCGGAGGAAA
RNAcentral lists this ribosomal RNA (516 nucleotides) under Pichia kudriavzevii. RNAcentral's name for it is "eukaryotic LSU rRNA". The stretch from base 138 to 290 matches the Rfam family "5.8S ribosomal RNA". Lineage: Eukaryota; Fungi; Ascomycota; Pichiomycetes; Pichiales; Pichiaceae. The record is from RNAcentral.